UUAAUGUACACCACCGGUUCCUCACGAAGAUUAAACCAAAGAACUUGUGCCUGCUUCCCAUCUUUUUGUGCCCCAAUAUGCUUAAGAACGUUACGAAUACCCUCAACUGUUGGAAUUGCAACACCGUGUACAGGCAAUGAAUCAGCCUGACGGUAAUUAGGGGCGCCAUCAAUCUGAGGAGUUAGUCGCUUGUUUUGACAGCCAGGGAAAUGGUCGCUCUUUAGAAUGGUCUUCUUUCCCAGCACUGAUCCACCUCUGAGCUUCAUCACCUGCUCCAAUUCCUUAGGUAUCGACAUGGCUCCUCCUCCUCCUUUUGGUAGUGCCUAGCUUUUUUAAUUUUAAUUUUUUUUAUACUAUCAAUGGAACAAACAAUUACUCACACUAUUAUGCACUGCUAAAAAUUCACAAUUUUCACAAAUCCAAAAUUCACCCACUCUCAGAUUCUACUUUCUUCUGCACUAGCUCAACCUGGAUUUCACUUUAUUUUAUGUGUAUGUCCAGAGGCAAUGCUGCAAGCAAAUUUAUAAUCAAGCAGGCAGAUGAUUGUAAAAAGCUGUAAAAAAGAAUUGUGAUUUGUGAUUGGGUUUGGCCAAAGAAGAACAACAAAUGUUUGCAGGGGAAGAAAAGGGGGGAAAUGUGAUAAAGGGGAGGGAUAAGAGAAAGGGAUAGAGAUAGAGAUAGAGAUAGAGACGGAUGUAUAUUAUAAAGCCCAGCAAGCAACAACUUUUAUUUGGGUCUGGUCUGGAGCUUGGGGGCAUUUGUAUCCAAAAAUAUAAAAUUUUCACUUUGUUUUGUGUGAGAGGUGGUGGGGUAGAGAGGCGCAAACACUGCAGUAAUAUUCCUCCAUCAUCCAGCUCCAGGGUUCAUCAUAAUCGUCUGUACUCUCCUCUCUCUGCUCUCUCCUCUGCCUUGCCUGACAAAGAAACGUGGAAGGCGUGUAGUAUUU
RNAcentral lists this unclassified non-coding RNA (946 nucleotides) under Hevea brasiliensis (rubber tree). Lineage: Eukaryota; Viridiplantae; Streptophyta; Magnoliopsida; Malpighiales; Euphorbiaceae. The record is from RNAcentral.